RNAcentral lists this ribosomal RNA (497 nucleotides) under uncultured bacterium. RNAcentral describes it as "partial 16S ribosomal RNA". It matches the Rfam family "Bacterial small subunit ribosomal RNA", at positions 28 to 507 of the family's 1533-position model. The record is from RNAcentral.
GAUGAACGCUGGCGGCGUGCCUAAUACAUGCAAGUCGAGCGAACAGACGAGGAGCUUGCUCCUCUGACGUUAGCGGCGGACGGGUGAGUAACACGUGGAUAACCUACCUAUAAGACUUGGAUAACUUCGGGAAACCGGAGCUAAUACCGGAUAAUAUAUUCAACCGCAUGGUUCAAUAGUGAAAGACGGUUUUGCUGUCAUUUAUAGAUGGAUCCGCGCCGCAUUAGCUAGUUGGUAAGGUAACGGCUUACCAAGGCAACGAUGCGUAGCCGACCUGAGAGGGUGAUCGGCCACACUGGAACUGAGACACGGUCCAGACUCCUACGGGGGGCAGCAGUAGGGAAUCUUCCGCAAUGGGCGAAAGCUUGACGGAGCAACGCCGCGUGAGUGAUGAAGGUCUUCGGAUCGUAAAACUCUGUUAUUAGGGAAGAACAAAUGUGUAAGUAACUAUACACGUCUUGACGGUACCUAAUCAGAAAGCCACGGCUAACUACGUG